GGGGAUAGGGAAGGAGCGGGCGCGUCGGUGGGACGAGAGGACGAGACUGGAUGGGUUUGGGGUUGGUCAGGCCGAGGUUUUAGAGUGGGUGUCAGGUCGUCGUAGCGGCACUGGACCUCGACGGCGGCAGGGCAUCGAGACGAAGCGGUGGCUGCGGAGUUAGGGAGGGGGGUUGUGGGGGUCUUGGGAGGGCGCACCGGCGGUAGCGGCAGGGGAAAGACGGGGGUGGGGCAAGAGUUAGGGCGUGUAAACAAAGGUUCGGUGUUCGCGUGGGACGGGACUUGAACGACUCUAUAUUUCACAAACUCUGUAUUGACGUCAAUAGCUCGACUCCACGACACAAACUGUAACGAGUCAUUAUCGUAUUUACUCCGAUUAAUACCCCGUUCAAGUAGCCUUACAAGAACGCGACCGCAGUAGAGCCAGUACGAAACAGUAGCCACUGGUAGAGGGCAAGUCUUACGACAGCAACGGUGCCCGUAGUCCCAAGGUAGUCUGACGAACCGCCCCAUCAGUUUGACAGCUCCUGUCGCCGUCGUGUGAUUGAGACCGAUCGGACCUUCAGGUUUCGUUUCGACUAAUACACUUCUUCCUUUCCCACGGUGUUUCGUUUCGACUAAUGCACUUCUUCCUUUCCCACGGUGUUUCGUUUCGACUAAUACACUUCUUCCUUUCCCACGUUGCUUGACCUCCCGGCUUCCGUUCGAGUUCUCUAAGACGAAAGUCACACUUUGGUUUCUUCCCAAGAUGCGAAUCAGACUUCGGUCGCUUCUCACGGAAUGGUUUCGGUGGUCACCACUUCUUCUUUGACUUCUAGCUGCUCCGAAAUAAAAGACGUUCAAGUAAACUUCUUGAGCCAAACGGCGGAAACGAGUAACUGGCCGACUUGUUCCUUCCGGACUGGAGAGGUUGACUCCAGGUCAGGCGAAGAUAAGGACAGUAUAGUGUUUCCGUACUACGCCAAUAGGUUAGUAUAUGACCCAGCCCCUUUUGUGAACGCAUGGAAGAGGGAUAAGAAAGACUUUAUCCGGGGGACUUCUCCCGAUCUCUUGUCCCAUUAAGACUUUUCUCUAGUCCAUAUCUUCGACAACAGCAACGAGGAAGUUCUCUUGAUCCUUACGUCUAUCACGCUCUUCACCUCUUCUAAGACCCAGGACUACUAUUCUCUGAACAGGUCGUCGAACAACCGCCACGAUUGGCAAGCUCCGUUCUCCUUCGUGACUUCUUCUUGUUCGGAUAAUAUCAACAACCUUGUGGACCUGCGUAAAGCCUUUAAAGUCGCCGCCCAUUCGAUGUUUGAGUAUUGACGGCAAAAGAACAUGAUCUACUUCAACUGGUCGAGAAUAGUAAGUUAAUGGCACUCCUAUACGUAUCUUAUGACCUCGUGCAACCUUCCUUUGGAUCGUGAAGUAGAAGAUCAGUGUAGGAACCAGGUGAACGAUCCGCCAGACUGGCGGUCUGUUAGAACCAAAGUCGUUGUCACGGCAAAAGUCAAUAUGCACGUCGGUCCUCAACCCCGGUACUAGGUCAAGAACAAUCCCGAUUCUCACAUCAGGGCGAACUGAGCUAGUGACAAGGUUCCGGGUACGACAGGGUCCCACUGGGAUUGAGACUAAGGGGUUGUUACAGUCACUUAGUUCGACGUCAACUGUCGAAUGGCGGUAGCAACCUCGUAAUGAUGACAUGUUGGUUCCGAGUGGUGUUUCAACUGUGAAAUUCCUCUACGUAGGUACGGGACCUUCGUCUCUGCCACUAACGUAAAUACUUGUUGUGGUUCGGUGACUUCCUACAACACAAAUUCAACCUCCGGGCACCCUACUUUCGAUAGCUCGAUGUACCUCUAGAACCCUUCGAACGUUCCAGUUGUCAAGAAUUUUUCAAGUUCCGUCCACUUAAGUCCCAAGACCAGUGUUUGCUCGACAGGCGGUCUCCUGACCUGUAUGGUCUUACGCUGGAACACUAGUUGGACCUAGAAGGGUGUCUGAGAUGCGUGAUGCGGGUGUCUCGACCGGCCUGACCUGCAGAACCCGCCUUUCCCUGGCACCAGAGUUAUACACUUCUUUCACUCCGUAAAUAGUACUCCUUUUACGCGUUCGUCAAUCCACACCGGUAGUUCGGUACACUUAAGUGGCUUCCGGUCUAAUGGCAAGUAUUCCUCCUUCUGCACCUUAUCUUGAGACGUAACGAGUUGGUAGCAAAAUCAAACAGAAUUCACGAUGACAAAAAAGCAACCGUAAAUCAGGCUGACAUAAAAGAAUUUUACAACGGUGAAUUAUGAAAACGAGUCGCCUCUGAUCUAUGUAACCUUUUAUGUACCAGGAAAAAACGACCAUCGUAAGUCGUCCUCACGUCCCGUAACUUUAGACUUUUAAUGGUCAGAAAAGACCACUGCAAAUCGACAAAUAAAAAGUUACGUACCAACUACAAGU
Molecule: ribosomal RNA, 2429 nt
Filed under: Triticum aestivum (bread wheat)
Lineage: Eukaryota; Viridiplantae; Streptophyta; Magnoliopsida; Poales; Poaceae
Description: partial small subunit ribosomal RNA
Source: RNAcentral